RNAcentral lists this ribosomal RNA (430 nucleotides) under Pseudomonadota bacterium. RNAcentral describes it as "Proteobacteria bacterium partial 16S ribosomal RNA". It matches the Rfam family "Bacterial small subunit ribosomal RNA", at positions 355 to 776 of the family's 1533-position model. Lineage: Bacteria; Pseudomonadati; Pseudomonadota. The record is from RNAcentral.
UGGGGAAUAUUGGACAAUGGGGGGAACCCUGAUCCAGCCAUGCCGCGUGUGUGAAGAAGGCCUUAUGGUUGUAAAGCACUUUAAGCGAGGAGGAGGGUACUGGUAUUAAUACUACCAGGUACUGGACGUUACUCGCAGAAUAAGCACCGGCUCACUCUGUGCCAGCAGCCGCGGUAAUACAGAGGGUGCGAGCGUUAAUCGGAUUUACUGGGCGUAAAGCGUGCGUAGGCGGCUAAUUGAGUCGGAUGUGAAAUCCCCGAGCUUAACUUGGGAAUUGCAUUCGAUACUGGUGAGCUAGAGUGUGGGAGAGGAUGGUAGAAUUCCAGGUGUAGCGGUGAAAUGCGUAGAGAUCUGGAGGAAUACCGAUGGCGAAGGCAGCCAUCUGGCCUAACACUGACGCUGAGGUACGAAAGAAUGGGGAGCAAACAGG